GAAGAACUGUUAUGUGAUGGUACCAGUGUAGGAAGAUUAACGGUUGUUUUCGUAACACGAUGAAUAUUGUGUCUCCGAGCUCAGCAAUUUUUGAUAAGAUAAACAAGAAUGUCCAAAAACCAGAAACGUGGUCUUGUGUAAGGUGAACAAAUACUAUAAUAAAAUCCAUGAUGCCUUAACGUAUGAAACAUUUCUGGUGCUGUCCUAAGAAAUCCCAUAAUGGAGAAUAAUGCAAGCAUUGCACUCCACAAAGCAAGUUUGCUUCUCAGGUUAAACUUUGGUCUAUUUGACAUGUAAUGUUUCCCACCAAAAAUUAGGACGGCGUAGAUCCCACAGUAUAAGAAACAAUUUGGGUAAUGACUUCUGCUCCAUGUUAGAGAAUUUGUGUAAGACAUUCGGCUCACAAGUAGACGUAUCACUGGAAUCCUCUCACCUUUUGCAGGAUGUUGAUUUUGAUAUGAACUUGGAACCGUACUUACCUAUCUUGCAUUCCUAAGCCAUCCCUUUCAGGGGUGUCUCAAGUCACGUGCGUUUUAACCCCUAACCAUUUCUGAAGCCACAGCAUACGAAUAAUUACUUAUUUUACUUGUAUUUAAAUAAAACGACUUGAAGCAAGUCCGUGCAAGGAAGCAAGACAAAUUA
Bombus pyrosoma is the source of this 642-nucleotide long non-coding RNA. RefSeq lists it as uncharacterized. The transcript has 3 exons. The record is from RefSeq and is a predicted model, not a curated record. Lineage: Eukaryota; Metazoa; Arthropoda; Insecta; Hymenoptera; Apidae.